UAUAGGGGUGCUGGGCCACAACCUCUGUGGCUGUGGCCGCAAAGGAAGGUGGUGCAUUAGGGUGCGUUAGGGAACCACCUUUUUCUAACAAUUUGUCGAGUUGUAGUGCUUAAGCAACCGACUCGUUGGAUAAAAUCAAAUUGUCAGUUACGAAAAAGAUUGAUUGAAAAUAGCGCCCAAAAACAGUUGACAAUCACUGUUUUGACGUCAUACAUGAAGUGUCAACCAAGUUAACCUCGCUAUGAAGGAUAAAAAGAUUAGCAAGCUUGUUGCUGAUUCAGCAGCGUUCAUCAGAAAUGCGCAAAUGCAGGAUAUUGCUGAUGUCGUUUACACGGUUAGGGAUGUCGUUGACGAAAUUAGAGAUCAAGCUACAAAGCAGAGACUCAGAGUUUUACCUUAUGAAAUAAAAAUGAUGGAACCAUCACCGGUGGUGAUGGACAAUGAAUGAAUGUGAACAAUCGUGUGUUUGAAAACAGAUGGCGAUGUAGGAUACGGUACGCCAAAUAAUCCCAUAUUUUUCAGCAAGUCGGGUAAGGCCAUUUAUUUUGAACGUCACUGAAAUAACCAUUCGUCUGAAGUGCGCCACCGCCAUUGUCACGACGAAUCAUCUUCUUGUCCGGCAAUAGGAUACAGGAAUGGCAUGGUCCCCUUCAGGUGUCGAGCCUGACCUACACCCUCUGUAAUUGAAACGGUAUUGGUACAAGUAAUUACAUGGAGGUAGUGUAAAUUUGGGACUUGAUUUGUCAUCUGUUGGUCAAGGUGGAAAAACAGGGAUUGGAUCAAUAAUUUUAUUCCCACUCACCUUUGGAAUUCUUGGAUGGUAGCUGUUGUUGCAGGACACUCCUUGUUUUGUUAGUGAGGUUUCAGAAAGCAGCAUUCCAAGAGCAAGAAUCUAAUUUACAGGCUGUUAACACAAUCUAGAAUGUUUAACUUUGUUUUCCUGCUUUGAUGGUGAAAUUGAAUUAUAUUGGAAUUUAAAAGUUUUUGAAGCUAUUUUUGCUUACUAGUGAGAAAGCAUAUGUUAAGAGUUGCUGAAAUGUGUGAACAGAGCAAUAUGCAAAACUUUGAUUGAAUUUGACAAAACUACUUCAUUUUUAUAUUUGGAAUAUUUGAGUUUGCUGUGGCAGGAUAAUGGCUAUCAAUGUGGAGAAUUUGAAUUGAAAAUCUUAAUUCUGCAUUAAGUACUUGUUGCCUAUAGAUAAAUAAAUGAUGAUCUAAGUUGG
Molecule: long non-coding RNA, 1223 nt
Organism: Daphnia magna
Lineage: Eukaryota; Metazoa; Arthropoda; Branchiopoda; Diplostraca; Daphniidae
Exons: 7
Source: RefSeq, a predicted model, not a curated record